This 426-nucleotide ribosomal RNA is filed under the name uncultured Paenibacillus sp. RNAcentral describes it as "bacterial SSU rRNA". It matches the Rfam family "Bacterial small subunit ribosomal RNA", at positions 355 to 774 of the family's 1533-position model. The record is from RNAcentral. Lineage: Bacteria; Bacillati; Bacillota; Bacilli; Caryophanales; Paenibacillaceae.
UAGGGAAUCUUCGGCAAUGGACGAAAGUCUGACCGAGCAACGCCGCGUGAGUGAUGAAGGUUUUCGGAUCGUAAAACUCUGUUGCCAGGGAAGAAAGGCUGAGGGAGUAACUGCCCUUGGAUUGACGGUACCUGAGAAGAAAGCCCCGGCUAACUACGUGCCAGCAGCCGCGGUAAUACGUAGGGGGCAAGCGUUGUCCGGAAUUAUUGGGCGUAAAGCGCGCGCAGGCGGUUGCUUAAGUCUGGUGUAUAAACCAAGGGCUCAACCUUUGGACGCAUUGGAAACUGGGCAACUGGAGUGUAGGAGAGGAAAGUGGAAUUCCACGUGUAGCGGUGAAAUGCGUAGAGAUGUGGAGGAACACCAGUGGCGAAGGCGACUUUCUGGCCUAUAACUGACGCUGAGGCGCGAAAGCGUGGGGAGCAAACA